ACUAAGUUGCUUAGAACUUUCACAAGAAAUUCUUUCUCAUGCUAUUCUUUAACUAGAACACAACAGACUUUAACUGCGUCCUACAGGACUGAACUAUGAUCUGAGCGACGCGUCUGUUUACGUGAAUGUCUCGGGGCGAGAAACACGGUGAAAGGUGUUUGUAUGCUCGUGAACAGGAAAAUAUACCAGCAGGUAGCAGUCACUGAUGCUUACUGCCCUUGUUCUGUUAAUAAUCCAUGGGAGUAGCUCAUUUUGACCCAGUUGUAAAUAAAAGAAGUGCUGCAAUGAACAGUUCUGAAAGCGUUAUACUAUUUGACAGCCUGAGCACUAAUGAGAGGGUGGAAGGGAAGCGGAAAAGAAAAUGAGAUAAAAGACGUGCUGAAUUACCUCCUUUCUUUUACUGCGUAAUAUUAUAAUAGCAAGUGGUAACAAAAUAUGAAAUGUCGUGCAUCUUUGUUUUGUUUAAUAACUUUUUGUGUCUAGUAGCAUGAUUCGGACAAAUACGAUUUUACACGUUUUUAUAAAUGUAGUUUAUAUCUUAUGUAAUUUUGGAGAUAUCGUAGAUAUAUAUUACGUUAAUUAUGCUGAACUUUAUUAAGUGCACAAUUUGUCAAGGCUGUUAUUGGUCGAAAAGUAAAAAGGACAUAUAUAAAAUCACUACUUUGUCCAGAAAGUGUUUAAAAUUUAGAACGAUAUCUUUUUUAUUUGUACUUACUAUUGUUUUGGUAGUGUUGAAGUGUUUUGUUUUCUUUCUAUUUUGCUUAUUUACAUAGGUUUAUUACUUUUUUAUUCUACUAAACAUUUUUUACAAUUACUUGGCAGAAAUAUUUCAUAGUCCUAAAGGUUCUGGACUGAUGUGCAGCUCUGCUAACAUUGCUUAAGAGCACAAUGUAUAUAUGUUAGAAAUCAGAUUAUAUUUGUAUCAGUUAUUUUUCUGUUUAUGUCUUUCUCUAUGAAGUAUUAACGAAAGUUCAAGAGACUGGAGAAAGUGAUUUGUUAUAAUGAAUGCUGGAGUUAUCAACUGUAUUGUUAACAGGCUCCAGAAUAAUCUGAGGCGUUUUGUACGUUGAAUGACUUGGGACUGGGUCAAUUUUAGCAAAAAAUGGGAAUAUAAAAAUAUCUUUUUCUCUCCGUACUUUCAGAAAUGUUAACAACAUGUAUGAGCUGGUCCUACCUCCACCAUGUUUUAUAACCAGAAACGCCGCCCAAGAUUGUAGGUUUGGCAUAGUCAUGACUAUUGAUUGAGCGUUGUUCAAGUCAGUUCAGCCAGUUUUAAUAUCAAUUCUCUAGUUAACUGACGUCAAAGAUUAAAUCUUUUUAAAACAAAAUUAAGCCUGCAAAGGAAUAGCGGCCGAGUGGCUUAUUUCAAUGCUAAGAAAGCAGAAAGGUUUAAAGCCAGUCAACUUUCAGGAACAAAAAAUUUUAAAAACAAAAUAAUUAGCAGAUAUUUAAUCAAAUUUCAGUAUUUUUAUUGCUCCUUUCCAAUUUGUUUGAUUUUCAGUGGAAAUCCACCUUAACGGAAAUGGUUUUUAUAUUCUUAUGUGGUUAAGUUUUUCUGUGAUUGGUUAAUAUGCACGAAAUAUACUACGGAAAGACGAGUGUAAUUUGCACCUAUUUUUCAAUUCCAUACUCCAAAAAGGUUACACUUUAUAAUUUGCUGAAUAUCGAGCAAAAUGACAAUUUGUAGAGAAAUUCAUUCCAAAAUUUUUUACUCAAAUAAAAAAUUAUUUUUAUAAAACAGACAUAAACGUUCGCAGUAAUAAGAAACACAGGUCAAACUUUUUUUUUAUUUUCUUCACUUAAAAUGAAGUAUGAUGUGACAUGACAGACAUGUUUUUAU
This is a long non-coding RNA of Hydractinia symbiolongicarpus, 1840 nucleotides long. RefSeq lists it as uncharacterized. The transcript has 2 exons. The record is from RefSeq and is a predicted model, not a curated record. NCBI's taxonomy places the organism in Eukaryota, Metazoa, Cnidaria, Hydrozoa, Anthoathecata, Hydractiniidae.